UACGUAGGGUGCGAGCGUUAAUCGGAAUUACUGGGCGUAAAGGGCGCGUAGGCGGCCUGUUAAGUCGGACGUGAAAUCCCUCGGCUCAACCGGGGAACUGCGUCCGAUACUGGCGGGCUUGAAUUCGGGAGAGGGAUGUGGAAUUCCAGGUGUAGCGGUGAAAUGCGCAGAUAUUGGGAGGAACACCAGUGGCGAAGGCGGCACUCUGGGCCAGUACUGACACUGAGGAGCGAAAGCGUGGGGAGCGAACAGG
This 253-nucleotide ribosomal RNA is filed under the name uncultured bacterium. RNAcentral's name for it is "partial 16S ribosomal RNA". It matches the Rfam family "Bacterial small subunit ribosomal RNA", at positions 524 to 776 of the family's 1533-position model. The record is from RNAcentral.